RNAcentral lists this ribosomal RNA (253 nucleotides) under uncultured bacterium. Its description in RNAcentral is "partial 16S ribosomal RNA". It matches the Rfam family "Bacterial small subunit ribosomal RNA", at positions 524 to 776 of the family's 1533-position model. The record is from RNAcentral.
UACAGGGGGUGCAAACGUUGCUCGGAAUCAUUGGGCGUAAAGCGCACGUAGGCGGUUUGUUAAGUCGGAUGUGAAAUCCCUCGGCUCAACUGAGGAAGUGCAUCCGAAACUGGCAAGCUUGAGUACGAAAGAGGGUCGCGGAAUUCCCGGUGUAGAGGUGAAAUUCGUAGAUAUCGGGAGGAACACCGGUGGCGAAGGCGGCGACCUGGGUCGAUACUGACGCUGAGGUGCGAAAGCGUGGGGAGCAAACAGG